AGCGAACGCUGGCGGCAGGCCUAACACAUGCAAGUCGAACGGAUCCUUCGGGAUUAGUGGCGGACGGGUGAGUAACACGUGGGAACGUGCCUUUUGGUUCGGAACAACUCAGGGAAACUUGAGCUAAUACCGAAUGUGCCCUCCGGGGGAAAGAUUUAUCGCCAUUAGAGCGGCCCGCGUCUGAUUAGCUAGUUGGUGAGGUAAAGGCUCACCAAGGCUACGAUCAGUAGCUGGUCUGAGAGGAUGAUCAGCCACAUUGGGACUGAGACACGGCCCAAACUCCUACUGGAGGCAGCAGUGGGGAAUCUUGCGCAAUGGGCGAAAGCCUGACGCAGCCAUGCCGCGUGAAUGAUGAAGUCUUAGG
This 364-nucleotide ribosomal RNA is filed under the name uncultured bacterium. RNAcentral describes it as "bacterial SSU rRNA". It matches the Rfam family "Bacterial small subunit ribosomal RNA", at positions 29 to 420 of the family's 1533-position model. The record is from RNAcentral.